CAGAGGAUCUCCUCGCUGGCCUACUCUCUCCUCCCGUACGGCGCCGGAAUCCCAGCUCCACUUACCAGGCCGCGGCUACCCUGCCGUCCCCCCCGACUCCCGCCACCCCGCUCUCCCAGGCUCUUCAGGAUCCAAGUCUGUAGGCCCUUUAAGGGGUCUAAUUGCCGUUUGCGGGGCCCUGGGACUUUGAUCCCAGACAGCGAGGAUCCGGAUGGCUUCCGUGCGGAUCCGAGAGGCCAAGGAGGGAGACUGUGGAGAUAUCCUGAGGCUGAUUCGGGUGAAGACUGCGGGCCGGAAACCCGGGGGUCAGAGUGGCGCGGCCAGAGCGGGGUCGUAGGAGGCGGGGGCAGGGGGAGGGGCUCGCCUUGGGAACCUGCUCCGGGAGCAGCGGGGCCCUUCUGCUCUAAUCUAGCUUCCGUACCCACGCCUUAGGAGCUAGCCGAAUUCGAAAAACUCUCGGAUCAGGUGAAGAUCAGUGAAGAAGGUGGGGGCUCAGCGCCCAGGUUCUGGCGGAGGCUGGGGAGGAAAUGAGGGAUGGGUUCCCCAGGCGACAGCUCCAGGCUGGGCAUACACCCACGUCCUCUUUCUCUAUAUCUUUGUCACAACUCCAAUCUCGGCAGCCCUGAGAGCAGAUGGCUUUGGAGACAAUCCUUUCUAUCACUGUUUGGUAGCAGAGAUUCUUCCAGCGCCCGGGAAGCUACUGGGGCCCUGCGUGGUGGGCUAUGGGAUAUACUAUUUCAUCUACAGUACAUGGAAGGGACGCACCAUUUAUCUGGAGGAUGUCUAUGUGAUGCCGGAAUAUC
RNAcentral lists this small RNA (803 nucleotides) under Pan troglodytes (chimpanzee). RNAcentral describes it as "retained intron". Lineage: Eukaryota; Metazoa; Chordata; Mammalia; Primates; Hominidae. The record is from RNAcentral.